RNAcentral lists this unclassified non-coding RNA (212 nucleotides) under Hevea brasiliensis (rubber tree). The record is from RNAcentral. Lineage: Eukaryota; Viridiplantae; Streptophyta; Magnoliopsida; Malpighiales; Euphorbiaceae.
AUUGUAAUGUAAAUGGAGCGGGGAUUGGAGCGGUUCUAUCCUAAGCAAGGAGGCCCAUGGCAUACUUUAGUGAAAGCCUAAGUGAUGUUAGGAGAAAUUGGAGCACCGAAGAGUUCUAUUUGGUCGUGCAUGCUUUUAAGACAUGAGAGCAUUACUAGAUAGGCAAAAAGUUCAUCUUGUAUUCGAAUCACGAGGCCUUGAAGUACCUAAAU